CCUACGGGAGGCAGCAGUCGAGAAUCAUUCACAAUGGGGGAAACCCUGAUGGUGCGACGCCGCGUGGGGGAAUGAAGGUCUUCGGAUUGUAAACCCCUGUCAUGUGGGAGCAAAUUAGAAAGAUAGUACCACAAGAGGAAGAGACGGCUAACUCUGUGCCAGCAGCCGCGGUAAUACAGAGGUCUCAAGCGUUGUUCGGAAUCAGUGGGCGUAAAGUGUGCGUAGGCUGUUUCGUAAGUCGUGUGUGAAAGGCGCGGGCUCAACCCGCGGACGGCACAUGAUACUGCGAGACUAGAGUAAUGGAGGGGUAAGCGGAAUGUUCGGUGUAGCAGUGAAAUGCGUAGAUAUCGAGAGGAACACUCGUGGCGAAGGCGGGUUCCUGGACAUUAACUGACGCUGAGGCACGAAGGCGAGGGGAGCGAAAGGGAUUAGAUACCCGAGUAGUC
Molecule: ribosomal RNA, 446 nt
Filed under: uncultured bacterium
Lineage: Bacteria
Description: partial 16S ribosomal RNA
Rfam family: Bacterial small subunit ribosomal RNA
Source: RNAcentral